UGCAAGUCGAACGAUGAUGCCCAGCUUGCUGGGUGGAUUAGUGGCGAACGGGUGAGUAACACGUGAGUAACCUGCCCCUGACUCUGGGAUAAGCGUUGGAAACGACGUCUAAUACUGGAUAUGACCGCCGAUCGCAUGGUCUGGUGGUGGAAAGAUUUUUUGGUUGGGGAUGGACUCGCGGCCUAUCAGCUUGUUGGUGAGGUAAUGCUCACCAAGGCGACGACGGGUAGCCGGCCUGAGAGGGUGACCGGCCACACUGGGACUGAGACACGGCCCAGACUCCUACGGGAGGCAGCAGUGGGGAAUAUUGCACAAUGGGCGAAAGCCUGAUGCAGCAACGCCGCGUGAGGGAUGACGGCCUUCGGGUUGUAAACCUCUUUUAGUAGGGAAGAAGCGUAAGUGACGGUACCUGCAGAAAAAGCACCGGCUAACUACGUGCCAGCAGCCGCGGUAAUACGUAGGGUGCAAGCGUUGUCCGGAAUUAUUGGGCGUAAAGAGCUCGUAGGCGGUUUGUCGCGUCUGCUGUGAAAUCCCGAGGCUCAACCUCGGGCUUGCAGUGGGUACGGGCAGACUAGAGUGCGGUAGGGGAGAUUGGAAUUCCUGGUGUAGCGGUGGAAUGCGCAGAUAUCAGGAGGAACACCGAUGGCGAAGGCAGAUCUCUGGGCCGUAACUGACGCUGAGGAGCGAAAGCGUGGGGAGCGAACAGGAUUAGAUACCCUGGUAGUCCACGCCGUAAACGUUGGGCGCUAGAUGUAGGGACCUUUCCACGGUUUCUGUGUCGUAGCUAACGCAUUAAGCGCCCCGCCUGGGGAGUACGGCCGCAAGGCUAAAACUCAAAGGAAUUGACGGGGGCCCGCACAAGCGGCGGAGCAUGCGGAUUAAUUCGAUGCAACGCGAAGAACCUUACCAAGGCUUGACAUACACCGGAAACGGCCAGAGAUGGUUGCCCCCUUGUGGUCGGUGUACAGGUGGUGCAUGGUUGUCGUCAGCUCGUGUCGUGAGAUGUUGGGUUAAGUCCCGCAACGAGCGCAACCCUCGUUCUAUGUUGCCAGCGCGUUAUGGCGGGGACUCAUAGGAGACUGCCGGGGUCAACUCGGAGGAAGGUGGGGAUGACGUCAAAUCAUCAUGCCCCUUAUGUCUUGGGCUUCACGCAUGCUACAAUGGCCGGUACAAAGGGCUGCGAUACCGUAAGGUGGAGCGAAUCCCAAAAAGCCGGUCUCAGUUCGGAUUGAGGUCUGCAACUCGACCUCAUGAAGUCGGAGUCGCUAGUAAUCGCAGAUCAGCAACGCUGCGGUGAAUACGUUCCCGGGCCUUGUACACACCGCCCGUCAAGUCAUGAAAGUCGGUAACACCCGAAGCCGGUGGCCUAACCCUUG
Molecule: ribosomal RNA, 1376 nt
Filed under: Curtobacterium sp. CO147
Lineage: Bacteria; Bacillati; Actinomycetota; Actinomycetes; Micrococcales; Microbacteriaceae
Description: bacterial SSU rRNA
Rfam family: Bacterial small subunit ribosomal RNA
Source: RNAcentral